AGCUUUGUGCAGUGGUGGUAUUGUAGCCAAAGAGGUUUAUCUGAGGCGCGAUUAUUGCUAAUUGAAUACUUUUUCCAAUACCCCGCCAUGAUGACUUGCAAUAUAGUCGGCAUUGGCAAUUUUUGACAGUCUCUACGGAGG
Molecule: small nuclear RNA, 141 nt
Filed under: Cebus imitator (Panamanian white-faced capuchin)
Lineage: Eukaryota; Metazoa; Chordata; Mammalia; Primates; Cebidae
Description: U4 spliceosomal RNA (ENSCCAG00000007781.1)
Rfam family: U4 spliceosomal RNA
About the family: U4 small nuclear RNA (U4 snRNA) is a component of the major U2-dependent spliceosome. The structure of U4 snRNA from yeast and human has been reported. U4 snRNA presents a k-turn RNA motif in the 5p-SL related to recognition of Snu13 protein.
Source: Rfam by way of RNAcentral